This 584-nucleotide long non-coding RNA is filed under the name Salvia miltiorrhiza (redroot sage). RNAcentral describes it as "long non-coding RNA (SMIL_LNC000672)". Lineage: Eukaryota; Viridiplantae; Streptophyta; Magnoliopsida; Lamiales; Lamiaceae. The record is from RNAcentral.
UCUAUUGUUAACUUGAUAAUAUGAAAAUGUAAACGAAGAGGCGUGAUGCUUACCUUAAUCUUGAUGACGUCUGCGUCACUACUAUUCGAAGUCGAUCUUCCCCUCUGCAAUCCAUAUCGAUUUUACUAUUCAACAAUCUAAUAAUAGCUAGAAAAAACAAGAGUCCCCAAGUGGACAUCCAAACCGAGCUCCCCUUUCCCCAAAUCAAAAAAAAGAAAACAGAAGGAACAAAAAUCUUGGACUGGAAUUUUGUCUGGAAAUGGUAAAAAUCGUACCUUAACCGCGACGAAAUCUGGGCCGUUCAUUUUCGCGAAUCAUGUGGUUUGAUGAUUUUGAUCGGACAAUGCACACCUGGGAUGCUGCGAAGUAGUGUUAUUUAUUGCGGUGGAUGAACUGAAACGUGGCGGAGUGUGGGGAAGCGGCGCAGUCAGUGUCUUCCGCCGCCCAAUGCCACCUCCGAUGUUCCAUCUCCGAGUAAUAUUCAUUGUUUUUUGCUCUGUUUUCUUUUUCAAUUUUUUGCUCUGUUUAAGAAUGAAAAUAACUGGAGAAUACUAUAAUGGAAGAUUGAGAUAUUUGAUGAGGUG